AAGUCGUAACAAGGUUUCCGUAGGUGAACCUGCGGAAGGAUCAUUAAAGUAUAAGUUGUCGCUUGUCGACUCUAUAUUUUGUGAAUUCAUAGAAUUGAAUUAAUUUGGGGUUUGAAAAGGUUUGCCGCAAGGUGAACGACCCCAAACACCUUUAAACAUAAACUAUUUAUCAAUGACUGACUGUUAUUUCAAUUUAUAAUUGACAAAAUAACUUUCAACAACGGAUCUCUUGGUUCUC
This 238-nucleotide unclassified non-coding RNA is filed under the name fungal sp. RNAcentral's name for it is "partial internal transcribed spacer region". The stretch from base 1 to 46 matches the Rfam family "Eukaryotic small subunit ribosomal RNA", at positions 1786 to 1831 of the family's 1831-position model. Lineage: Eukaryota; Fungi. The record is from RNAcentral.